RNAcentral lists this ribosomal RNA (253 nucleotides) under uncultured bacterium. Its description in RNAcentral is "partial 16S ribosomal RNA". It matches the Rfam family "Bacterial small subunit ribosomal RNA", at positions 524 to 776 of the family's 1533-position model. The record is from RNAcentral.
GACGUAGGGCGCGAGCGUUGUCCGGAUUUAUUGGGCGUAAAGAGCUCGUAGGCGGCUUGUCGCGUCGACUGUGAAAACCCGCGGCUUAACUGCGGGACUGCAGUCGAUACGGGCAGGCUAGAGUUCGGUAGGGGAGACUGGAACUGACGGUGGAGCGGUGAAAUGCGUAGAUAUCGUCAGGAACGCCAAUGGUGAAGACAGGUGACUGGGCUAGUUCUGACACUGAGGCACGAAAGCGUGGGGAGCGAACGGG